CCUACGGGGAGCAGCAGUGAGGAAUAUUGGUCAAUGGGCGGAAGCCUGAACCAGCCAAGUCGCGUGAGGGAUUAAGGCCCUGCGGGUCGUAAACCUCUUUUGCCGGGGAGCAGAGGUCCGGACGUGUCCGGGCCGGGAGAGUACCCGGAGAAAAAGCAUCGGCUAACUCCGUGCCAGCAGCCGCGGUAAUACGGAGGAUGCGAGCGUUAUCCGGAUUUAUUGGGGUUAAAGGGUGCGUAGGCGGGCAUUUAAGCCGGCGGUCAAAUGUCGGGGCUCAACCCCGGCCUGCCGUCGGAACUGGGUGCCUUGAGUGGGCGAGAGGUAUGCGGAAUGUGUGGUGUAGCGGUGAAAUGCAUAGAGAUCACGCAGAACCCCGAUUGCGAAGGCAGCAUACCGGCGCCCUACUGACGCUGAGGCACGAAAGUGCGGGUAUCGAACAGGAUUAGAUACCCGGGUAGUC
RNAcentral lists this ribosomal RNA (460 nucleotides) under uncultured bacterium. RNAcentral describes it as "partial 16S ribosomal RNA". It matches the Rfam family "Bacterial small subunit ribosomal RNA", at positions 338 to 795 of the family's 1533-position model. The record is from RNAcentral.